UACGUAGGGUGCAAGCGUUGUCCGGAAUUAUUGGGCGUAAAGAGCUCGUAGGCGGUUUGUCGCGUCUGCUGUGAAAUCCCGAGGCUCAACCUCGGGCCUGCAGUGGGUACGGGCAGACUAGAGUGCGGUAGGGGGAGAUUGGAAUUCCUGGUGUAGCGAUGGAAUGCGCAGAUAUCAGGAGGAACACCGAUGGCGAAGGCAGAUCUCUGGGCCGUAACUGACGCUGAGAAGCGAAAGCAUGGGGAGCGAACAGG
Molecule: ribosomal RNA, 254 nt
Filed under: uncultured bacterium
Lineage: Bacteria
Description: partial 16S ribosomal RNA
Rfam family: Bacterial small subunit ribosomal RNA
Source: RNAcentral